RNAcentral lists this ribosomal RNA (1301 nucleotides) under metagenome. RNAcentral describes it as "bacterial LSU rRNA". It matches the Rfam family "Bacterial large subunit ribosomal RNA", at positions 1635 to 2925 of the family's 2925-position model. The record is from RNAcentral.
CACACGACCGUACCGCAAACCGACACUGGUGCGCGAGAUGAGUAUUCUAAGGCGCUUGAGAGAACUCAGGAGAAGGAACUCGGCAAAUUGACACCGUAACUUCGGAAGAAGGUGUGCCUUUAGUAGGUGAAGUCCCUCGCGGAUGGAGCCCAAUGAGGUUGCAAAGAAUCGGUGGCUGCGACUGUUUAUUAAAAACACAGCACUCUGCAAACACGAAAGUGGACGUAUAGGGUGUGACGCCUGCCCGGUGCUGGAAGAUUAAAUGAUGGGGUGCAAGCUCUUGAUUGAAGUCCCAGUAAACGGCGGCCGUAACAAUAACGGUCCUAAGGUAGCGAAAUUCCUUGUCGGGUAAGUUCCGACCUGCACGAAUGGCGUAACGAUGGCCACACUGUCUCCUCCUGAGACUCAGCGAAGUUGAAAUGUUUGUGAUGAUGCAAUCUCCCCGCGGAAAGACGGAAAGACCCCAUGAACCUUUACUGUAGCUUUGUAUUGGACUUUGAACAGAUCUGUGUAGGAUAGGUGGGAGGCUUUGAAGCAGGGUCGCUAGAUCUUGUGGAGCCAACGUUGAAAUACCACCCUGGUGUGUUUGAGGUUCUAACCUAGGCCCGUAAUCCGGGUUGGGGACAGUGCAUGGUAGGCAGUUUGACUGGGGCGGUCUCCUCCCAAAGUGUAACGGAGGAGUUCGAAGGUACGCUAGUUACGGUCGGACAUCGUGACGAUAGUCAAUGGCAUAAGCGUGCUUAACUGCGAGACUGACAAGUCGAGCAGAUGCGAAAGCAGGACAUAGUGAUCCGGUGGUUCUGUAUGGAAGGGCCAUCGCUCAACGGAUAAAAGGUACUCUGGGGAUAACAGGCUGAUACCGCCCAAGAGUUCAUAUCGACGGCGGUGUUUGGCACCUCGAUGUCGGCUCAUCUCAUCCUCGGGCUGUAGCCGGUCCCAAGGGUAUGGCUGUUCGCCAUUUAAAGAGGUACGUGAGCUGGGUUUAAAACGUCGUGAGACAGUUUGGUCCCUAUCUUCCGUGGGCGCUGCAGAUUUGAGGAAGCCUGCUCCUAGUACGAGAGGACCGGAGUGGACGCACCUCUGGUGUAUCGGUUGUCACGCCAGUGGCAUUGCCGAGUAGCUAUGUGCGGAAGAGAUAACCGCUGAAAGCAUCUAAGCGGGAAACUCGUUUCAAGAUGAGAUCUGCCGGGGCCUUGAGCCCCCUGAAGAGUCGUUCAAGACCAGGACGUUGAUAGGUCGGGUGUGGAAGCGCAGUAAUGCGUUAAGCUAACCGAUACUAAUUGCUCGUGCGGCUUGACCCU